GGGCAGUUUUGACUGGGGCGGUCGCCUCCUAAAAGGUAACGGAGGCGUGCAAAGGUUCCCUCAGGCUGGUUGGACAUCAGUCGUAGAGUGUAAAGGCAUGAGGGAGCUUGACUGCGAGACCAACAGGUCGAGCAGAGACGAAAGUCGGCCUUAGUGAUCCGGCGCUUCCGAGUGGAAGGGGCGUCACUCAACGGAUAAAAGUUACUCUAGGGAUAAC
This 217-nucleotide ribosomal RNA is filed under the name uncultured eukaryote. RNAcentral describes it as "partial large subunit ribosomal RNA". It matches the Rfam family "Bacterial large subunit ribosomal RNA", at positions 2263 to 2478 of the family's 2925-position model. The record is from RNAcentral.